CCUACGGGUGGCAGCAGUGGGGAAUAUUGGGCAAUGGGCGCAAGCCUGACCCAGCAACGCCGCGUGAAGGAAGAAGGCUUUCGGGUUGUAAACUUCUUUUCUGAGGGACGAAGAAAGUGCCGGUACCUCAGGAAUAAGCCACGGCUAACUACGUGCCAGCAGCCGCGGUAAUACGGAGGUGGCAAGCGUUAUCCGGAUUUGUUGGGUGUACAGGGCGUGUAGGCGGGAAAGUAAGUCAGAUGUGAAAACUCAGGGCUCAACCCUGAGCCUGCAGUUGAAACUGUUUUUCUUGAGUGCUGGAGAGGCAAUCGGAAUUCGGGGUGUAGCGGUGAAAUGCGUAGAUAUACGGAGGAACACCAGUGGCGAAGGCGGAUUGCUGGACAGUAACUGACGCUGAGGCGCGAAAGCGUGGGGAGCAAACAGGAUUAGAUACCCGUGUAGUC
RNAcentral lists this ribosomal RNA (443 nucleotides) under uncultured bacterium. RNAcentral's name for it is "partial 16S ribosomal RNA". It matches the Rfam family "Bacterial small subunit ribosomal RNA", at positions 338 to 795 of the family's 1533-position model. The record is from RNAcentral.